AUUGAACGCUGGCGGCAGGCCUAACACAUGCAAGUCGAGCGGAUGAAGGGAGCUUGCUCCUGGAUUCAGCGGCGGACGGGUGAGUAAUGCCUAGGAAUCUGCCUGGUAGUGGGGGAUAACGUCCGGAAACGGGCGCUAAUACCGCAUACGUCCUGAGGGAGAAAGUGGGGGAUCUUCGGACCUCACGCUAUCGGAUGAGCCUAGGUCGGAUUAGCUAGUUGGUGGGGUAAAGGCCUACCAAGGCGACGAUCCGUAACUGGUCUGAGAGGAUGAUCAGUCACACUGGAACUGAGACACGGUCCAGACUCCUACGGGAGGCAGCAGUGGGGAAUAUUGGACAAUGGGCGAAAGCCUGAUCCAGCCAUGCCGCGUGUGUGAAGAAGGUCUUCGGAUUGUAAAGCACUUUAAGUUGGGAGGAAGGGCAGUAAGUUAAUACCUUGCUGUUCUGACGUUACCAACAGAAUAAGCACCGGCUAACUUCGUG
This 484-nucleotide ribosomal RNA is filed under the name uncultured bacterium. Its description in RNAcentral is "partial 16S ribosomal RNA". It matches the Rfam family "Bacterial small subunit ribosomal RNA", at positions 30 to 507 of the family's 1533-position model. The record is from RNAcentral.